Molecule: ribosomal RNA, 500 nt
Filed under: Bacillus sp. TN69
Lineage: Bacteria; Bacillati; Bacillota; Bacilli; Caryophanales; Bacillaceae
Description: bacterial SSU rRNA
Rfam family: Bacterial small subunit ribosomal RNA
Source: RNAcentral
GUGCUAAUACAUGCAAGUCGAGCGAAUGGAUUAAGAGCUUGCUCUUAUGAAGUUAGCGGCGGACGGGUGAGUAACACGUGGGUAACCUGCCCAUAAGACUGGGAUAACUCCGGGAAACCGGGGCUAAUACCGGAUAACAUUUUGAACCGCAUGGUUCGAAAUUGAAAGGCGGCUUCGGCUGUCACUUAUGGAUGGACCCGCGUCGCAUUAGCUAGUUGGUGAGGUAACGGCUCACCAAGGCAACGAUGCGUAGCCGACCUGAGAGGGUGAUCGGCCACACUGGGACUGAGACACGGCCCAGACUCCUACGGGAGGCAGCAGUAGGGAAUCUUCCGCAAUGGACGAAAGUCUGACGGAGCAACGCCGCGUGAGUGAUGAAGGCUUUCGGGUCGUAAAACUCUGUUGUUAGGGAAGAACAAGUGCUAGUUGAAUAAGCUGGCACCUUGACGGUACCUAACCAGAAAGCCACGGCUAACUACGUGCCAGCAGCCGCGGUAAUA